RNAcentral lists this signal recognition particle RNA (99 nucleotides) under Flavobacteriales bacterium. RNAcentral describes it as "signal recognition particle sRNA small type". It matches the Rfam family "Bacteroidales small SRP". Rfam says of the family: The non-coding component of the signal recognition particle in Bacteroides Lineage: Bacteria; Pseudomonadati; Bacteroidota; Flavobacteriia; Flavobacteriales. The record is from RNAcentral.
GGGCAAGUCUCGUACGACCAGCUCCCGCUUAAUCCCCCAGGGCCGGAAGGCAGCAAGGGUAGGCGGUUGUAGCGGAGCGAUGCGAUCAGCUUGCCCCUC